AUUGAACGCUGGCGGCAUGCCUUACACAUGCAAGUCGAACGGUAACAGGUCUUCGGAUGCUGACGAGUGGCGAACGGGUGAGUAAUACAUCGGAACGUGCCUAGUAGUGGGGGAUAACUACUCGAAAGAGUGGCUAAUACCGCAUGAGAUCUACGGAUGAAAGCAGGGGAUCGCAAGACCUUGUGCUACUAGAGCGGCCGAUGGCAGAUUAGGUAGUUGGUGGGAUAAAAGCUUACCAAGCCGACGAUCUGUAGCUGGUCUGAGAGGACGAUCAGCCAGACGGGGACUGAGACACGGCCCAGACUCCUCAGGGAGGCAGCAGUGGGGAAUUUUGGACAAUGGGCGAAAGCCUGAUCCAGCAAUGCCGCGUGCAGGAUGAAGGCCUUCGGGUUGUAAACUGCUUUUGUACGGAACGAAAAGCCCUGGGUUAAUACCCUGGGGUCAUGACGGUACCGUAAGAAUAAGCACCGGCUAACUACGUGCCAGCCGCCGCCGUAA
This 498-nucleotide ribosomal RNA is filed under the name uncultured bacterium. RNAcentral describes it as "partial 16S ribosomal RNA". It matches the Rfam family "Bacterial small subunit ribosomal RNA", at positions 30 to 523 of the family's 1533-position model. The record is from RNAcentral.